ACCUCGGCAGUGCUUGGAAGCAUCAGCACGAGCCAUCCGCUCGCUCGGCGCCAUCCAUCAGCCCCCUGGCAAACGCUGUGUGACACCCCCCCGCUGAUUUAUCCGAGGCCAACGGAGUCAGGAAAAACAGCUGGUAAAUCCUUCCCCGGCAGCCGGCGGGUUAUUAAUGCGGCCAAGUGUGGAGGCAGCCAGAAAUCUGUAGGGCUGUGCUGGUGAGGGGAUGUGGAGGGCUGCAGAGCUCCAUCCUGCUGAUCUUGGCAGGAUCUGGUGGGUCCCAGGUGCUGCUGAAGCAUCCCCAAGGAGAGAGCAUUGUGCAGGGGAUGGGUGUCCCCUGGCUGGGGACAUGGCUGGGUGCAGGGUGGGACGAUGGAGAGGGUGACAUCAGUGCUGUGGGUGCUGAGUGAGGGCUGCAGAGCCCUGACUAUGAUAUGGAAACCCAUAGAUGCCAUGCUGUGAUAUGGUGACAUUUGGAGCCCAGAUCACAACAUGGGCACACAUGGAGUCCAGGCUGUGACAUAGGGUUGUACAGAACCUGGGCUGUGACAUGGGGACAUAUCCAUCCCAUGUUGUGACACUGUAACAUGAGGACACACGGAGCCCAGACCAUGAUAUGGGGGCAUGUAGAGUGUGGGCUGUGACAUGGAGACACACAUUGCCCAUGGUUUGAUAUGGGGUCACAUCAAUCCCAUGCUGAUACAUGGAGACCCAUAGAUCCUAUGGUUUGACACAGGCACGCGCCAAUCCCAUGCUAUGACGUGAGGACAUACAGAGCCCAGGCUGUGACAUGGGGACACAUAGAGUCCAAACCAUGACAUGGGGGCUUGUGGAGCCUGGGUUGAGACAUGGAGACACACAGAGCCCAUGGUUUGACAUGGGGACACACCAAUCCCAUGCUGUGAUAUAGAGACCUAUAGAUUCCGUGGUUUGAAAGGGGGACACAUCAGUCCUGUGCUAUGACAUGGAGACAUGCAGAGCCCAGUCCAUUACAUAGGAAGACACAGAGCCCAGGCUAUGGCACUGGUACACGCCAAUCCCAUGAUAUGAUGUGGGGACCUGCAGAGCCCAUGCUGUGACAUGGGGAUAAAAAGUGCCCAAUCCCUGCAGCCUGUGCUGCCCCUCAUACCCCAGUGCCCCACUGCAGGGAGGAGGCACCCCUGGGGACAGAUCCUUGUCCCUGUGCUGCCACCCCCUGUGUCCCUGCACUGUUCGUGGGGCGGGGGCUGGGAAGGGGAGGCGUGGGGAGCUGGGAGCCGCGUAGCCAAGCAGGUGCAGCUGCAAUCAGCGCUGCUUCCAGCCUCUUCGCUCAGUUCCUCAAGGUUAUUUCGAAAAUUGAAUAUUCAAUUAAUGCACGAGUGGCUUCAUGGGGCUCACGGGGCUCUUGUCCCCUGGGCGCAGGCACCCUCGGAGCAGCACCUGCUGUGAGGAGGAAGCGCUUCCUCCUCCUCUCCUCCCUUCACCUCAUCCAUGUGAUGGGGUGCAUGCAGGCAAGGACGGGAGCCCCAGCCCCCCCCCAGCUGCCAACAGAUCCUCCCACAAGGUGACCCAGAGAGAUGUCCCCAUGGCUGUGACACAGCACAUCCCCUGUGGCAGGGCUCCCCCCUCGAGCCCUCCACAUUCACUACAGGUGUCUGAAUUCCUGGGCUGGGGGUAGUUCUGUUCCCCAGUGGCUCUAUGCUGAGUGCUGAGCCCCCUGGGACGCAGCCUGGCCAGGCAGGUUGUCCCAUGUCCCCAGGGCCACCAAGGAGAUGUCCCAAACCCAGGGCAAGCAGAAGAGCUUUGCUUACUCCUACAAGGCAUAGAGAUGAAGUUGAAGGAUGAGAAAAGCAUCCAGCCCCAGUCUGACCCCAACUCCAAGUGCAGUGGCAAGGGGAGAUCUCACUGUCCCCACCCCACAGCUGGUAUGUGGUCCCCACAUGACACGUCCCAUCUGCAGGGACAUGAGCCCAUCCUACGGAGCUGUUGCCACUGACCCCACCCUCAUGGCACACUGGUAUCCAUUGUUUCCCCCAUCCCCCAGGGAUGGAGCCCUUACACCCUGACCCGCCACCAUCCCUGUGUCCCCACACACUGCUGGGCUCACCAAGUGGGCCAUGCCCCCAGACCUGGGGACAGCAAGCCUGCUGGGAGUGCAGGCAGCAGAUGCUGAGCCGGGAUUAACAUUCACUGGCAGAAAAAAAAAA
Molecule: long non-coding RNA, 2180 nt
Organism: Gallus gallus (chicken)
Lineage: Eukaryota; Metazoa; Chordata; Aves; Galliformes; Phasianidae
Source: Ensembl